RNA transcript from Leptidea sinapis, 4779 nucleotides. RefSeq lists it as uncharacterized. The transcript is spliced from 9 exons. The record is from RefSeq and is a predicted model, not a curated record. NCBI's taxonomy places the organism in Eukaryota, Metazoa, Arthropoda, Insecta, Lepidoptera, Pieridae.
AUCUCGACUUACAUUUCCAUAUUUCGACUUUAUGUACCUAUUGUAUUUAUUGAAUAAUUUCAUGAAAAGAUAAAGCUUUAAGAAAAACAACAUAUAUAUUCAGAGAUUUUUAAUGCGUAGUUAUGUAUAGUGAAGUGGAAAUAGGUUUUUUAUACCUACGAGGUUAAUAUAUACUAAUUGCCGGUAGUCUGGUAUCUAUAACAAUUUCCGAAAAUAUAAGAACACACACAUUAUUACAAGUAUUAAAUAAGUACUUGGCUCCAAAUUGUAAUAUAACAAAAAAAACUAGUGAGAUGGAUUUGGCUAAACAAGAAAAUAGUCCGACACAAUCCGAAAUACGGGAUAUAACUGACAACAGUGCUAACGACAGAGUCAAUAAGAGAUUGUCUUUACCUAUUGCUCAUGCUGAUAACAAUAAAAAACCAAGGUAUUUGGAUGAUCAAGAAUGUGAGGGUAGCGAAAGUGAGAGGAGUAAAAAUAAGAACUAUUCUAUAUUGCUCUCAGACUUGCCGGGUGAAUGGAACUAUGUUCAAAUCAAAGAAUAUGUGACAAAAGAAUGUGGAGUAAAUGUCUUGAAAAUAUUGGACAAAAGAAGUAACAAGAAUAACUAUCAAAUUCAGUUACGGUUCAACAGUGAAGAGCACUAUAAGAUUGCUCUUGACAAGCUAAAAACUAAAGAAAUCGAAGGAAAGUUAACAGUGGAAGUUGAUGAUGAAGAUCCGGAUAGUGACAAUUCGUCAGUGACGACAGUGCAAAUUGCUAAGUGUGAUACAAAUGAUGUGGAUUUUUGGGAGACAGACCCUGAAGGUCUAUAUGGUUUGAAGCUGGAGUACCUAAUGAGCUUAGAAAUUACUCCACCCCUUGUCAGAUGGAUCCAUGUUACCAAUUUUCGGUGUGACAAAUCCGAGCUGAGAGAUGUCUUCGAAAUGGCGGGUAGGAUUGUGUUUUGUACAGUUAUCCAUGCGGUGGAUAAAUAUGCUAAGAUAAUGUACAGCCACCCGCUUGAAGCUGUCCAGGCUGUAUCUAUGUUGAAUGGACAAGUUUUCUAUGGCCAAACAUUAAAAGUUAGAAUGGAUCCUUUCGCGGAAGCUAAUUUACUACUUCCAAAAGGUCUCCAAAAUGUAGGCCCAGGUCUCGGUAAAUCGGGGAAACCUGUGCGCGAUUUGUUCAGGGAAUUAAAACAGUACAUGAAAGAAAAACCUUCUAUGUUAAAUCCUUUAUUAUUUAGUUCACAAUUAUCACCUCAUGAUGCAAGAGUUGAUACAGCAACACCUGGAGAAAGAAUCCAAAAAGAAUCCGAAACCAGUUCUGGUGAACGUGAAAAUGAAAAUGAAAAGAAGGAAGACUCAGAAAGUUUAAAUGACCAUAAAAAUAUUUCUAAUGAAACAGAUAACCAAAGUAAUGAAUGUACAGCAAUCAAUGUCUUGCAAAAUAGAUUCAGGCCUUCGUCUGCAUCUAGAUAUAGUCCUAAUCCUAGUUAUAGCAAUGCUCCAAUGUAUAUUUCAGAUCCUACACUGCGUAACCUAUCCUUAAACAAUAACAGUACUGCUAACCUUCCACAAGUUCCGACACCCAUUGCCAGACCCCGAAUGCCUCCGAAUUUCCCUUUUGCACAGCAAACCUCCAAUUCUUACGCUCCUCAAACUGUUCCUAGUUUGAAUCAAAACAUACCAAAUUAUCCCGGUACGUUUGGGCAGAAUAUGCAAUCUAUAACUAGGCCUGGUUUGGUUCAACGAAUGCCUACUUUUCAAAGACCCACUUUUAUGCAAAAUAUGCAAAUGAUGCAAAGCCCUUCGGGUGAACCGAAUCCGAGGUUCUCGGCCGAAGUAAGAAUAAAUAUAAUUAAUCCAGUGUUAAAUCAAAGUGCUCCAUUAGGAACUCCUCCAUACAACGUUGCUCAAAACAUACUUCCUGUAGCGCCAAACAUGAUUUUUGGACCAAGAGGUCCUAAUCAAGGACUAGAUCAACCACAAAGUUAUGUACAAGUAUUGAGAUGUGCUGAUCCUUCAUCGCUUCAAAUUAUAAACCUGCCAAUAACGUCGACAUUUGGAGGCGUAUGUAGUAAAUUGGCAGAGCUUGGUCAAGUGAUAUCACUUGAGUUUACAACGCCAGGCUGUGCUGUAGUCAAAUAUGGCUCCCCUGGCGAUGCUGAGCGAUGUUUUCAUAAUUUCAGAAACGUUUUCUGAAGUCAAUAUGUAAUAUAACCUACCAAUAUCAUAUUAAUCAAUUUCAUAUUCUGAAGAUUUAACGAUAUGAGGAUUUCAAGUUGUGCAUUCACAGUGCUUCAGUGCACUUACACCAGCCGUCAAAUAGUAUCCAAUCGGCAACUUCCAAGUUUUGUUAAUUGCAACCAGCAGGAUCAAAGCUUGGGUUGCUAAAAUAUCAUUUUUCACAUGAUCUUGCGUUGGACCAGCACCAAAAUUAGUGAUAUGAAAUAGCCAUUAUUCCACGUAAUAUAUAACAUGGCUAUCUCAUCAAACUAAUGAACAUUCACGUUAGAGUUUGAUUGGCAUUUCUUUUUUAAUGUCGUAUAAGAUUCAGCUGUGAAACCCGGUGCUGCAUUAACCAUACCAUCUGCUCUUAAGGAGCGGCAAUGAUUUAUUGUACAAGUCUGACGUAUUUAUUGACAGCCGUUGAAUGAUAUAGUAAUGUUAUAGCAAAUUUGAGCCAGCCUAGCGCUGAAAUAAUCUUGUAAAAAUUGAGGGAGCUGAAAUCUACUACGGUAUAAGCAACUGUUCGCUUUCAAAUUUAGUGGGGCUAUAAUUCGUUGCCUAUCGCCCUACUGUAAUUACUACUAUUUCAAACUUAUUUCAUAUCACUGCAUGUUUCAUACUAAACUAAAUUUCAAUUUUUAAUUUGGCAAUCCCGCCUCUUAUUACAUAGUAUUUACAUCCUCUUUGAUUUGUGCAUUUCUUGCAGUUUUUACUAGCAUUUUCUGUUUAACUCUUAUUAUAUAGAUUUUAGAAUUUCCACUAAAUUUGCUCUGGCCAUUACAUCAUUCUGCAUGCUUAAAUCCAAACAUCACUUACUUUUUAGGUUUUGUACAUUUUUUGUAAAUUCGUAAAAUAGCUACUGUAAAGAUCUGAUCUUUUUAAUUAAUGAUACAUUAGGUAUCACUUAGAUUAAUAAAAUUGUUUCAUAUAUAUAUUUUUACCCCCUUAUUCAUAAUAGUCUGCUAACUGUUUUAAGUUAGCGGACUAUUAUGAAUAAGGGGUUUAGUUUUUAUCAAUUUUUAAUUUUAUACAGUUAAAAGUUAUUUUUUGUGUAAAUAUAUAAGGAAUAAUAAUGUUUUGGGAGGAUUCGUAUAACUUAAGUAUUGUUUAAGUUCUUUAACAUUAAUAAUCUCUUUCUUUUAAGCAUAAAUAAUCGCACUUAGAUUUAUAGAUAUGUCACUAAUAUUAUUAAAAUAAAUAAUUUAAAAUACAGUGAACUUAUAGUAGUACUCAGUAGUGACUGUACUAAUUCUAGUCAGUUGUAAACUUAUGCACUUAUAUGCUAGAUUAUAUUUAAAAUUAAACAAAACACAAGAAAAAUUGGACGUUUUCCGGCUGAUUUGAUGAUGAUCUAGAAUUUAGAAUUUUAAUUGAUUUUGAAAGUUUUUGAUAAGGAGUUGUACUUACAUAUUUCUGUGAUCGCUUUAUAAAAAGAUUUUCAAUCCAUGCGGUUUUGAAUUCAUUUCUAAUAUUUUUUCUGUCUAUUUCAAUAAAUAGUGAAAAGUUUUUCACUUAUUCAAUAUUUUUAAGUAUUAUAACAGUAAUACUGGUGGAACAAAUUCUAUACUCCAUUUUCUCUUAACUAAGAUACAAAUGAAAUACGCUCCAUAAACUUUACGGCCCUCGCAAGGGAAAUAAAAUACGUAACAUGUAUUAUACUUUCAAAUUAGCACUUGUGAGAAGUUUUAGCAGAUAAGUUGCGGGUUGUGAGCUAUAUGCUACAGGGAUUUAUUACAUCUACUUGAUGUAAUUGUCACUGCUACGGAGAUUCAGAGCGGGAAAUAUUUCGAGAGGAUAAUUAAUUUAUCACCCGGAUUAAAUUUCUUCACCAUAAAUAUUAGAUUAUACAUUAUAAAACCGGUAAUAUAUAUAUACUGAUCAUGACAUAUCGGCAAACAGACAUAGAAUUGAAGAUCUUGAAAAACGUCGUCAAUUUAUUGAUACUGUUAUUUUGUACAAAAUAAUUCAUAUCUGAUAUUAUAAUUAUUAAAAUUCUUCACCUUAAAUAUGUUUUACGGAAAAACGCUUUGAUACAUGGAGUAUUUGUACCAUGGGCAGUGACAAAACAAUGAGGCUGUCAAACUAAAAACAGCGCACUCGACCUAUUGAGCAGACUUGUCUAUGACACUUAGAGCAUGACUGUGCGUUUGUACGUCAAUGGUUGUAUAUUAUUAUAAUUAUUGAGAAGAAUAAGGUUUUAUAGUAGAAAUAAUAUUCAAUAAUGACUUUAAAGAGCUUUUUAUAUACUUAUUUAAGUAAUUGCUAUAAGUUGGAUCUAAUGUUGUAUUUUGUGACAAUAUUUUAUUAAUACAAAUUAUUUGAGUUUUCUUUAGUGUUAAUUCCGCCAAUAUUCCGGAAUUAACACUAAAGAAAACUCAAAUCAUAUGUAUAAUCAUGGAUUUCCGCAAAGUAACGCCUACUUCAAUAAAAAUAUUUUAUUAAGUUGCUCUUUACAUUUUUUUGUGAUAAAUUAAAAGAAAUAAAAAAAUACGAUCAAUUAAGUAUAAUAUAAGUACUAAUAUGUGAUUUCAUCAUCUAAAUAUAUUUUAAUUAAUAAUAAUUUAUA